UAGGGAAUCUUCGGCAAUGGGGGGAACCCUGACCGAGCAACGCCGCGUGAGUGAAGAAGGUUUUCGGAUCGUAAAGCUCUGUUGUUAAGGAAGAACGAGUGUGAGAAUGGAAAGUUCAUACUGUGACGGUACUUAACCAGAAAGGGACGGCUAACUACGUGCCAGCAGCCGCGGUAAUACGUAGGUCCCGAGCGUUGUCCGGAUUUAUUGGGCGUAAAGCGAGCGCAGGCGGUUAGAAAAGUCUGAAGUGAAAGGCAGUGGCUCAACCAUUGUAGGCUUUGGAAACUGUUUAACUUGAGUGCAGAAGGGGAGAGUGGAAUUCCAUGUGUAGCGGUGAAAUGCGUAGAUAUAUGGAGGAACACCGGUGGCGAAAGCGGCUCUCUGGUCUGUAACUGACGCUGAGGCUCGAAAGCGUGGGGGGCGAACAGG
RNAcentral lists this ribosomal RNA (429 nucleotides) under Bacteroidota bacterium. RNAcentral describes it as "Bacteroidetes bacterium partial 16S ribosomal RNA". It matches the Rfam family "Bacterial small subunit ribosomal RNA", at positions 355 to 776 of the family's 1533-position model. Lineage: Bacteria; Pseudomonadati; Bacteroidota. The record is from RNAcentral.